CAAACGACUCUCGGCAACGGAUAUCUCGGCUCUCGCAUCGAUGAAAAACGUAGCGAAAUGCGAUACUUGGUGUGAAUUGCAAAAUCCCGUGAACCAUCGAGUCUUUGAACGCAAGUUGCGCCCGAAGCCACUAGGCCGAGGGCACGUCUGCCUGGGCGUA
Molecule: ribosomal RNA, 160 nt
Filed under: Patrinia gibbosa
Lineage: Eukaryota; Viridiplantae; Streptophyta; Magnoliopsida; Dipsacales; Caprifoliaceae
Description: partial 5.8S ribosomal RNA
Rfam family: 5.8S ribosomal RNA
About the family: 5.8S ribosomal RNA (5.8S rRNA) is a component of the large subunit of the eukaryotic ribosome.
Source: RNAcentral